UACGGGGGGGGCAAGCGUUGUUCGGAAUUACUGGGCGUAAAGGGCUCGUAGGCGGCCAACUAAGUCAUACGUGAAAUCCCUCGGCUUAACCGGGGAACUGCGUCUGAUACUGGAUGGCUUGAGUUCGGGAGAGGGAUGCGGAAUUCCAGGUGUAGCGGUGAAAUGCGUAGAUAUCUGGAGGAACACCGGUGGCGAAGGCGGCCCACUGGGCAGUCACUGACGCUGAGGCGCGAAAGCUCGGGGAGCGAACGGG
RNAcentral lists this ribosomal RNA (253 nucleotides) under uncultured bacterium. RNAcentral describes it as "partial 16S ribosomal RNA". It matches the Rfam family "Bacterial small subunit ribosomal RNA", at positions 524 to 776 of the family's 1533-position model. The record is from RNAcentral.